Molecule: ribosomal RNA, 371 nt
Filed under: Pinnotheres pisum
Lineage: Eukaryota; Metazoa; Arthropoda; Malacostraca; Decapoda; Pinnotheridae
Description: partial 16S ribosomal RNA
Source: RNAcentral
UAGCAUAAUAGUUAGUUUUUUAAUUGGAAUCUUGUAUGAAUGGUUGGACAAAAGAAAUUCUGUCUCUAUAAUUUUUAUUGAAUUUAACUUUUAAGUGAAAAGGCUUAAAUAUUUUAAAAAGACGAUAAGACCCUAUAAAGCUUUAUAGUUAAAUUUAUUUGAUUAAAUUAAUAAAUAAAAUUUUAAUGAAUUAAACUAUUUUGUUGGGGAGACAAAAUUAUAAUUUUAAAUAACUGUUAAUAAGUAAAACAAUUUAUAGAUGAGUAAUAAUGUAAUAGAUCCUUUUAUAAAGAUUAAAAGUUUAAGUUACUUUAGGGAUAACAGCGUUAUUUUUUUUGAGAGUUCAUAUCGAAAAAAAAGAUUGCGACCUC